Molecule: ribosomal RNA, 253 nt
Filed under: uncultured bacterium
Lineage: Bacteria
Description: partial 16S ribosomal RNA
Rfam family: Bacterial small subunit ribosomal RNA
Source: RNAcentral
UCCGUAGGGUGCGAGCGUUGUCCGGAAUUAUUGGGCGUAAAGGGCUCGUAGGCGGUUUGUCGCGUCGGGAGUGAAAUCCACUGGCUUAACUGGUGGCUUGCUUUCGAUACGGGCAGACUGGAGGUAUGCAGGGGAGAACGGAAUUCCUGGUGUAGCGGUGAAAUGCGCAGAUAUCAGGAGGAACACCGGUGGCGAAGGCGGGUCUCUGGGCCGAUACUGACGCUGAGGAGCGAAAGCGUGGGGAGCGAACAGG